AUAUGGUUGACGAAUAUCAUGUUAUGAAAGAGUUUAAUCAAAGUUAAAAUUCAAAUCCAGCAGCCAAGCUUCUAAUCUACAAAAUGCUAAAACCUUUGAUGAUAAUUUGCAUGGUAAUAGAAAUACUAUAACGACAAAUAAUUCUCUAAAAGGUGUUAUUAUAUAUUCCCAAACCAUUUUUAUGUGUCAUGUACAUGUACAAGCCACCACAAAUGCCCAAAACUGGCAUGUUUCAUCACAAAGUAAAUAACACAAUACCUAUAACUAAAUCUAAGUAGGGCAACUUAUUAAGCAACUGAUAUAUCGCUUCUAUGGAGUAACAACCUCAAGCCUUGUUUGGUGCUUCUCCAACUUUCUGCAGCAAGACAUGACAAGAUGAGUCCUAAGCAAAUUGAUAUGAUGCACAGAAAAUUCGAAAAUAAAAUUUGUGAAUGAUAUAUGAAUAGUAAAAUAUGCAUUUAGCCUAAUCAUGCCAGUCACAUUUAGCAUAUCUAACUGAAAUUCGGAACCUCAUGAACUAGGUUGGUAAUUUCAUGAAUUGAAGAAAGAGAACCCAAACUUAGAAACCAUGCCAAUUACAAUUCAGUAAUGAUAUAUCUUCCUGAACAUCUUCCGCAAAUUCAGAGUGUAAGAAGCAGUCACAAAACUGAAUUCGGACUUCCAAUGAAGGUAAAUUUAUGUACCUCUUCUUUGUUGCCCUUUCCUCUAGUGAAGAACUUGCAAGUCCCAUAGAUGAAUGCGCCCCACCCAGCCAACGAAACAAACACAAACUGCAAUGGCAGAAGAUUCAGAAAUACUUAAAAUAUUACCAUAAACAAAUAUCUGGGAAACAAGACAAUGAAGUAACUAAAAAUAUAACAUAAAUAUAACACAAAUAAACAGAAUUUCAUAAUCAAGAAUUAACAAAUAUAUCAUAAACAGAAUAACUAAAAAAUCAGAGAUAAUGCAGAACGCAGAGAAGUGAAGAAUGAGCAAUGAAAAGACCACCAACCUGUCCGACAGUCCGAGAGAGGACGGCGAGGACGCAACGAAGAGGACGGCUUGCGACCCAAAACGCGACGGUG
Molecule: long non-coding RNA, 1064 nt
Filed under: Arachis ipaensis
Lineage: Eukaryota; Viridiplantae; Streptophyta; Magnoliopsida; Fabales; Fabaceae
Description: long non-coding RNA (AIPA_LNC000879)
Source: RNAcentral